Molecule: non-coding RNA, 107 nt
Organism: Capsicum annuum
Lineage: Eukaryota; Viridiplantae; Streptophyta; Magnoliopsida; Solanales; Solanaceae
Source: Rfam
AUCUCGUGGUGUAGGCAUUUAGCUAACUUUUUAUUAAAUCUCUCCCAUACUUCAUGAGGCGUCUCCCCACUCCUUUGUCUAAAGUUUAUGAUCUCUUCUCUCAUGUU